Molecule: non-coding RNA, 224 nt
Filed under: Pseudoxanthomonas suwonensis
Lineage: Bacteria; Pseudomonadati; Pseudomonadota; Gammaproteobacteria; Lysobacterales; Lysobacteraceae
Source: RNAcentral
CAAUAUCUUGUGGUCGUCGGUUCCGGCGGCCCGCUCGCCUCCGGAUCAAAAGGGAAGCCGGUGACGCGCCUUGGCGCCAGUCCGGCACUGCCCCGCAGCGGUAAUUGGGAACGACCCCGCCAUAUGAGCACUGGGACCGCCGGUCCCGGGAAGCGGCGGGUAGGAGGAAGGCCAGGCCUUCCGCGCCCAUGAGUCCGAAGACCUGCCGACAGCCGCGCGCAGCA